This 201-nucleotide unclassified non-coding RNA is filed under the name Hevea brasiliensis (rubber tree). The record is from RNAcentral. Lineage: Eukaryota; Viridiplantae; Streptophyta; Magnoliopsida; Malpighiales; Euphorbiaceae.
AAUGAAGCGGUUAUGGAGAUACAAUACGGAAACCAAUGCUCUGUGGAGAAGGCUAAUUCGUGAAAAAUGUGGACAGGAUGACCAUAUGGUGCUCUAAAGUUGUCAAUAGUCUAUAUGGGGUGAGGGUGAGGAAAGCCAUCAAAUUCAAUUGGGACCUUCUAUCUGACAACACUACCAUAAGGAUAGGAAAUGGUAGGAAAG